RNAcentral lists this ribosomal RNA (426 nucleotides) under Pseudomonadota bacterium. RNAcentral describes it as "Proteobacteria bacterium partial 16S ribosomal RNA". It matches the Rfam family "Bacterial small subunit ribosomal RNA", at positions 355 to 776 of the family's 1533-position model. Lineage: Bacteria; Pseudomonadati; Pseudomonadota. The record is from RNAcentral.
UGGGGAAUAUUGGACAAUGGGCGAAAGCCUGAUCCAGCCAUGCCGCGUGUGUGAAGAAGGUCUUCGGAUUGUAAAGCACUUUAAGUUGGGAGGGGCAGUAAGCGAAUACCUUGCUGUUUUGACGUUACCGACAGAAUAAGCACCGGCUAACUCUGUGCCAGCAGCCGCGGUAAUACAGAGGGUGCAAGCGUUAAUCGGAAUUACUGGGCGUAAAGCGCGCGUAGGUGGUUCGUUAAGUUGAAUGUGAAAGCCCCGGGCUCAACCUGGGAACUGCAUCCAAAACUGGCGAGCUAGAGUAGGGCAGAGGGUGGUGGAAUUUCCUGUGUAGCGGUGAAAUGCGUAGAUAUAGGAAGGAACACCAGUGGCGAAGGCGACCACCUGGGCUCAUACUGACACUGAGGUGCGAAAGCGUGGGGAGCAAACAGG